RNAcentral lists this long non-coding RNA (622 nucleotides) under Olea europaea subsp. europaea. The record is from RNAcentral. Lineage: Eukaryota; Viridiplantae; Streptophyta; Magnoliopsida; Lamiales; Oleaceae.
CAAGAUGAAGGUUUUAAAUCCUUCGUUUCAAAAUUAAGUACACAGCUCUCUGGUAAUUCUUAAUUCCUUUCAAUUUCAAUUUUCAAUCUUAUUUAUUUCUAUAUUAAAUGACCUUUCUUGAAAUGGGAUUCAAUGGAUUAUUGAUUAAAUUAAUUAUGUAUGAAUUUUAUGAAGAAUGGCUUGAAGGUGGGAAACUGCAGAGAGUUGUACUGGUGAUCAUGAGCAAGGCCACUGGUGAAGUUUUAGAGGUGGAAUUUCAGUAUUGAGACUGAUAGAGAGGUCGUUGAUAAAAGGAUAAUUUAAUUUAAUCAAUGAUUCUGAUUCAGAAUAAUUUCUUUGGACAGGGAAAUGUUUGUGGUUUGGAUUUUGAUUUUGAUUUAUAGAGUUUCGAGGGAGAAGAGUGAUAAAGAAAUAAUGAGGGAAAUUCAAGCAAUUAUGAGACAGAUAGCUUCCAGCAUCACAUAUUUGCCUCGCCUUGAUGAAUUGUGUAAGUUUUUAAUUUGAAAUUGAGGUGACCUGCGAAGCACGGAUACUGCCAUUAGGGUGGCGUUUCAUGUCUAACACGAAUUCAACACUCGAUAUGAUUUGUUUUAGUUUUGUACAUAAUAAUCUAUUGUCGGAG